CCUACGGGAGGCAGCAGUAGGGAAUCUUCCACAAUGGGCGAAAGCCUGAUGGAGCAACGCCGCGUGGGUGAAGAAGGUCUUCGGAUCGUAAAACCCUGUUGUUAGAGAAGAAAGUGCGUGAGAGUAACUGUUCACGUUUCGACGGUAUCUAACCAGAAAGCCACGGCUAACUACGUGCCAGCAGCCGCGGUAAUACGUAGGUGGCAAGCGUUAUCCGGAUUUAUUUGGCGUAAAGGGAACGCAGGCGGUCUUUUAAGUCUGAUGUGAAAGCCUUCGGUUUAACCGGAGUAGUGCAUUGGAAACUGGGAGACUUGAGUGCAGAAGAGGAGAGUGGAACUCCAUGUGUAGCGGUGAAAUGCGUAGAUAUAUGGAAGAACACCAGUGGCGAAAGCGGCUCUCUGGUCUGUAACUGACGCUGAGGUUCGAAAGCGUGGGUAGCAAACAGGAUUAGAUACCCCGGUAGUC
RNAcentral lists this ribosomal RNA (465 nucleotides) under uncultured bacterium. RNAcentral's name for it is "partial 16S ribosomal RNA". It matches the Rfam family "Bacterial small subunit ribosomal RNA", at positions 338 to 795 of the family's 1533-position model. The record is from RNAcentral.